GGGAUUAUUAUUAGUUAAUUAGACCAUAUUUUUAACAGUAAGAAAAAAAGUAAUUCCAGUUAGGACAAGAUAUCUUCUGAAUUUGAAAAAGGUAGAAAAAAUGAAAUUUAUGUUAAAUACUUAAUUGGCUUUCAUAGGAAUAACCCGUUAGUUAAAAACACGUUAUCUUGCCCUUGAGCAAGACAAACUAGUACAAGCCAGUUUUUAAUCACUCUGCCACUUAUAGCUAACUAUUUAAUUGGCUACAGACAUCGUUCUAAAUCGUUUUACAAGAUUUGCCGAGACUUAAUUACGGCAUUCUUACUUUAUUUAUUAUAAACGAUAUCCACGUAAAAGCUAAACCCUAAAGGCAUAACAGGCGUCUCGACUAUUGUAUAUAAACGGACAAUAAUUCUUUAAAUUAACUCACUGGUUUUGCUCUUGAUCUAUAUUCUGCUCUGUGUUGUCAAUACAAGAAUUAUAAGGAUUGCUUUAAGAUAACAAGCAUCCUAUAAAUUUGGUGCCCUGAACAACUGAAUGCAACCUUCUUGAGAGGAACAGAUCAACGGAGGAACACAACCAGCAACGACGACAGAUCAAUGCACGGAAUCUCAAAAAAAAAAAUAGAGGAACACAAGAUAAGUUCACGUUAAUAUUAUAUCCUAUAAGUCGCAUAUACGGGUCCAUGCUAAUCUAAUAGAUCUCCUAUCUUUCAACAGUUAACGACAUUUUACGAUUAUCGACGAAAAAACAACUCUACGACAUCGACACGAGGAUCCGGAUCAGCGACUAUUGACGCGAAGAAGACGAAAUCGCCUAAGGAUAUUUCUACGGACAUUCUGUAUUUCAUUCAAUUUACUGCAUAUUAAUUUUGGCCUGAACCGCCAACAACAACGCGUUCCGGCAGAACGACACGCCACAACCGCCAGCAUGAUUACGCUUAUUAUUAGUUUUCUCGUAAAUGUAUGUAUAUAUUCUUAUGCUUUUCCUUUUAACUCCCCUAGCCCAACAGUGUCAGUGAAUUUUUGUGAUCCAAAAGUACCCGUAGCAGAGUAUGCCAUACCGGAACCACCAAA
Non-coding RNA from Styela clava, 1055 nucleotides. The record is from RefSeq and is a predicted model, not a curated record. NCBI's taxonomy places the organism in Eukaryota, Metazoa, Chordata, Ascidiacea, Stolidobranchia, Styelidae.